ACAUCGUUGACUAGUAUGAUUCUCGCUUAGGGUGCGAGAGGUCCCAGGUUCGAUCCCUGGAUUGCGCC
Xylogone sp. PMI_703 is the source of this 68-nucleotide non-coding RNA. NCBI's taxonomy places the organism in Eukaryota, Fungi, Ascomycota, Leotiomycetes. The record is from the annotation of a GenBank genome assembly.